RNAcentral lists this non-coding RNA (890 nucleotides) under Lachnoclostridium sp. An169. RNAcentral describes it as "Bacterial large subunit ribosomal RNA". It matches the Rfam family "Bacterial large subunit ribosomal RNA", at positions 864 to 1669 of the family's 2925-position model. The record is from Rfam by way of RNAcentral. Lineage: Bacteria; Bacillati; Bacillota; Clostridia; Lachnospirales; Lachnospiraceae.
AUAGCUUUAGGGCUAGCCUCAUGCAAGUCUUACGGAGGUAGAGCACUGAAUUCCUAAGGGGGCGUCAAAGCUUACCAAGGGAUAUCAAACUCCGAAUGCCGUGUAGAUGAUGCAUGGGAGUCAGACGAUCCGAGAUAAGUUGGGUGGUCAAAAGGGAAAGAGCCCGGACCUGCAGCUAAGGCCCCAAAAUGUGUGUUAAGUGGAAAAGGAUGUGGGAUUUCAAAGACAACCAGGAUGUUGGCUCAGAAGCAGCCAUCCAUUAAAAGAGUGCGUAAUAGCUCACUGGUCGAGAGGUCCUGCGCCGAAAAUGUCCGGGGCUGAAACACACUGCCGAAGCUCAGGGAUGAACAGUGAUCAAUACAGAUCAAUGAAGAUGGAGGAAGCUUCCUGACGGAGUCAGGAAGAUCCCGCAUCAGAUGAAACAGACUGCGUUGGUCUGCAUUGAUCACUGUUCAUCGGUAGAGGAGCAUUGCUGACGGGAGGAAGCAGUACCGGAAGGAGCUGUGGACUGUCAGGAAGAGAGAAUGCCGGAAUGAGUAGCGAGAGGAAGGUGGGAAUCCUUCCGGCCGAAUAUCUAAGGUUUCCAGGGUAAAGCUGAUCUGCCCUGGGUAAGUCGGGGCCUAAGGCGAGGCCGAGAGGCGUAGCCGAUGGAUAACAGGUUGAAAUUCCUGUACUGUACUGUAACAGAACUGUGGGGACGCAGAAAGAGAGCGUGGGCCGGGAAUGGAAAGACCGGUGCAAGCGGGGUAGGAGUGUAUCAGGCAAAUCCGGUACACAAUCCGAAGACGUGACGCGGACCGAAAAGAAGUAGGGAAGCACGUGAGCUGGCUGCCAAGAAAAGCCGCUAUUGUUUGCAGUAUACCCGUACCGUAAACCGACACAGGUGGAUG